UACAGAGGUCUCAAGCGUUGUUCGGAUUCAUUGGGCGUAAAGGGUGUGUAGGCGGCCAGGUAGGUCUGGUGUGAAAACUCGAGGCUUAACCUCGAGAUGUCAUCGGAAACCAUUUGGCUAGAGUCCGGAAGAGGAGAGUGGAAUUCCUGGUGUAGCGGUGAAAUGCGCAGAUAUCAGGAAGAACACCAAUGGCGAAAGCAGCUCUCUGGGACGGUACUGACGCUGAGACGCGAAAGCGUGGGGAGCAAACAGG
RNAcentral lists this ribosomal RNA (253 nucleotides) under uncultured bacterium. Its description in RNAcentral is "partial 16S ribosomal RNA". It matches the Rfam family "Bacterial small subunit ribosomal RNA", at positions 524 to 776 of the family's 1533-position model. The record is from RNAcentral.